This 492-nucleotide ribosomal RNA is filed under the name uncultured bacterium. Its description in RNAcentral is "partial 16S ribosomal RNA". It matches the Rfam family "Bacterial small subunit ribosomal RNA", at positions 29 to 507 of the family's 1533-position model. The record is from RNAcentral.
AGUGAACGCUGGCGGUAGGCCUAACACAUGCAAGUCGAACGGCAGCACAGUAAGAGCUUGCUCUUACGGGUGGCGAGUGGCGGACGGGUGAGGAAUACAUCGGAAUCUACUUUUUCGUGGGGGAUAACGUAGGGACACUUACGCUAAUACCGCAUACGACCUACGGGUGAAAGCAGGGGAUCUUCGGACCUUUCGCGAUUGAAUGAGCCGAUGUCGGAUUAGCUAGUUGGCGGGGUAAAGGCCCACCAAGGCGACGAUCCGUAGCUGGUCUGAGAGGAUGAUCAGCCACACUGGAACUGAGACACGGUCCAGACUCCUACGGGAGGCAGCAGUAGGGAAUAUUGGACAAUGGGCGCAAGCCUGAUCCAGCCAUACCGCGUGAGUGAAGAAGGCCUUCGGGUUGUAAAGCCCUUUUGUUGGGAAAGAAAAGCAGCAGGUUAAUACCCCGCUGUUCUGACGGUACCCAAAGAAUAAGCACCGGCUAACUUCGUG